AGUUGUAUGGCUGAAAGGAAAGUAGAUGUUUUGAAAAUAUCCUAUAAAGGUUCGAAUCCUCUUGCAAUUU
RNAcentral lists this transfer RNA (70 nucleotides) under Regioscalpellum regium. Its description in RNAcentral is "tRNA-Ser". It matches the Rfam family "tRNA". From Rfam's summary of the family: Transfer RNA (tRNA) molecules are approximately 80 nucleotides in length. Their secondary structure includes four short double-helical elements and three loops (D, anti-codon, and T loops). Further hydrogen bonds mediate the characteristic L-shaped molecular structure. tRNAs have two regions of fundamental functional importance: the anti-codon, which is responsible for specific mRNA codon recognition, and the 3' end, to which the tRNAs corresponding amino acid is attached (by aminoacyl-tRNA synthetases). tRNAs cope with the degeneracy of the genetic code in two manners: having more than one tRNA (with a specific anti-codon) for a particular amino acid; and 'wobble' base-pairing, i.e. permitting non-standard base-pairing at the 3rd anti-codon position. Lineage: Eukaryota; Metazoa; Arthropoda; Thecostraca; Scalpellidae. The record is from RNAcentral.